Raphanus sativus (radish) is the source of this 654-nucleotide long non-coding RNA. RefSeq lists it as uncharacterized. The transcript is spliced from 2 exons. The record is from RefSeq and is a predicted model, not a curated record. NCBI's taxonomy places the organism in Eukaryota, Viridiplantae, Streptophyta, Magnoliopsida, Brassicales, Brassicaceae.
UACGAUUCUUAUGGCUUUAAUUUUUUUUCUUUUUAAUGUGACUUAAAUUAUAACUGUUUCACCUCAAUAAAUCCAUCUUUUUCUCUAUCGUGGUUCUCAUCUUAGCUCUCUCUCUCUCUCUCUCUCUCUCUCUCUCUCUCUCUCUCUCUCUCUCUCUCUCUCUCUCUCUCUCUCCUUGAUUUCUUAUUAAUCUGUCCUUUUAUGAGUUUAAAAGCUAUUUGAUUCAAAGCAAAAUUCCAUUAACGAUUUAACAUGUUUUUUUCUUCUUAUAUGAAUCUUAAUGAUGGGUUCUGUUUCUUCUUAUGCAGGAUUUAAAAGGAAACUAUGAUUUACUAAACUCACAAAUCUGAUAGAAUUUUUCUAAAAAGGAUCAGAAACAGUUGGAAGUAUAAGAGACAAAAUCUACUAAUAUUUUGGAAAGUAGAAGUCGGAGAAUUCAUGCCACCAGUUAAGAUUGAUGAUUGAAAUAAACAUGAAGAGAAGGAGAAGAAAAGGAGGAAGAAUCACAACUCAAGAAAUUUCAUAGCCAAGUCUAUUUAUUUGUUUAUCAUUUUCUUAUUACUGUUGUUAGAAACUUGGAUCUAUAUUUCUUUCAUCCUCAUAUUGUAUUUUAAUAUUUUAAUGUAAGAGUUAAUAAGAAAAUAUUUUGAUUAA